AUUGAACGCUGGCGGCAGGCUUAACACAUGCAAGUCGAGCGGGGUGAUGGUGCUUGCACUAUCACUUAGCGGCGGACGGGUGAGUAAUGCUUAGGAAUCUGCCUAUUAGUGGGGGACAACAUCUCGAAAGGGAUGCUAAUACCGCAUACGUCCUACGAGAGAAAGCAGGGGAUCACUUGUGACCUUGCGCUAAUAGAUGAGCCUAAGUUGGAUUAGCUAGUUGGUGGGGUAAAGGCCUACCAAGGCGACGAUCUGUAGCGGGUCUGGGAGGAUGAUCGGACGAACUGGGACUGAGACAAGGCCGAGAAUCCUACGGGAGGCAGCAGUGGGGAAUAUUGGAAAAUGGGGGGAACCCUGAUCAAGCCAUGCCGAGUGUGUGAAGAAGGCCUUAUGGUUGUAAAGAACUUUAAGCGAGGAGGAGGAUACUGAGACUAAUACUCUUGGAUAGUGGACGUUACUCGCAGAAUAAGAACCGGCUAACUCUGUGCCAGCCGACGCCGUAA
Molecule: ribosomal RNA, 503 nt
Filed under: uncultured bacterium
Lineage: Bacteria
Description: partial 16S ribosomal RNA
Rfam family: Bacterial small subunit ribosomal RNA
Source: RNAcentral